UGGUUUAUAUUAUUUUAAGCAAAUGCCAAAGGCAUACACUACUUUAGAGUUUUGCUCAUUAUUUAGUAAGAAAUAUGUAUUUUGUGUAAAUUAACUGAUAGCAAUGUUAAUGACAUGUUAAGUAAUAUUAAGUAAUGUUCCUAUUUUAUAGAAAGGUUUAAGAGUAUGGAAAAACCAAAUCUCUGAGAGAUGCAACCAGAAGACGGAUGAGAAACAUACUUGAGGCUGAGAUGACAGAAUGACAUGGGACAUCUCCCCCUAAAAGUGUAAGAGUGAUGUAUGCGCAGGGCAUUGUUGCUCUGUCUCCAUAUCUGGAAGACCCAUAUUCACAACAUGGAUAUAAACAUUACUACGAUCCAGAGAACAGUUCAGGAUACAUUGCAUGGCAGUUGAAGACCAUUCAAAGAAAAGCUGUGGAGGAAAGAAGCGUCUCAGUUUGCAAAUCUCCCAAAAAUAGAACAAGAUUUCCGACUCCUGUUUUGUGAGGUCACUGGGAGCAAAUUCUUGGAGAGGUGGCUCACCAAUCUCAAAGCAAAGGUUGUAAAGGAAAGUCAUGGACUUGUCCCCACCUCAGAGUUCUUGGAGUUAAUGUGCAAUGCUGAGUCAGGCUGGGACAGUGACUUGUCUACCAUCUUGCUGCUGCUACAUCUGCUACUACCAUCUGCACAAGGGCGAAAGAGACCAGGAAAGAUGUCUGCAUCUCAAGCUGUCAAUAACCUCAUCAAAUUCCCAAAGGCUGGAACCAGUGUACAGCAGCAUCUAGACAACAUCACCCGAAGCAGUCAGCCCUACCAUCUUACUCAGGGAUCCACAAGAAGCAGCAUUCACAGCUUCAUUGUAAUUGAGAAGCAUGCACUUCCAUGUAAUGCGACAGGUUCUGUAGGAGCCCUUGAUGAACUCUUUAGGGCCCAUUAUGUCUUUGGUACAUCAUACAGUUCAUCCCUGACCAACUUUGUUACUUUUCUGCAACUACGACAUUGGGGAAAUGUCAUAUUGCUUUCUCUAGUGAGCAUCAUAGAACUGUGAAUUGUAAAGGUUUGUUACGUUAAUUAAAUGACACUGAAUUGAGAAAAAUAAUAAAUGCUGUUACUUUAACCUGUAUAUUUGUUAUUUCCAUAAUGUAGGAUAGAUCAGUUAUUUAGUAAUAUAGCAUCAUAAGAUGAA
Molecule: long non-coding RNA, 1164 nt
Organism: Maylandia zebra (zebra mbuna)
Lineage: Eukaryota; Metazoa; Chordata; Actinopteri; Cichliformes; Cichlidae
Source: RefSeq, a predicted model, not a curated record